Arvicanthis niloticus (Nile rat) is the source of this 103-nucleotide small nuclear RNA. The record is from RefSeq and is a predicted model, not a curated record. NCBI's taxonomy places the organism in Eukaryota, Metazoa, Chordata, Mammalia, Rodentia, Muridae.
UUGCUUCAGCAGCAUACAUAUUAAAAUUGGAAUGAUACAAAGAAGAUUAUCAUGGCCCCUGUGCAAGGAUAACAUGCAAAUUCUCGAACUCUUCCAUACUUUU